RNAcentral lists this ribosomal RNA (632 nucleotides) under Salmonella enterica subsp. enterica serovar Agona. RNAcentral's name for it is "bacterial SSU rRNA". It matches the Rfam family "Bacterial small subunit ribosomal RNA", at positions 901 to 1533 of the family's 1533-position model. Lineage: Bacteria; Pseudomonadati; Pseudomonadota; Gammaproteobacteria; Enterobacterales; Enterobacteriaceae. The record is from RNAcentral.
UCAAAUGAAUUGACGGGGGCCCGCACAAGCGGUGGAGCAUGUGGUUUAAUUCGAUGCAACGCGAAGAACCUUACCUGGUCUUGACAUCCACAGAACUUUCCAGAGAUGGACUGGUGCCUUCGGGAACUGUGAGACAGGUGCUGCAUGGCUGUCGUCAGCUCGUGUUGUGAAAUGUUGGGUUAAGUCCCGCAACGAGCGCAACCCUUAUCCUUUGUUGCCAGCGGUCCGGCCGGGAACUCAAAGGAGACUGCCAGUGAUAAACUGGAGGAAGGUGGGGAUGACGUCAAGUCAUCAUGGCCCUUACGACCAGGGCUACACACGUGCUACAAUGGCGCAUACAAAGAGAAGCGACCUCGCGAGAGCAAGCGGACCUCAUAAAGUGCGUCGUAGUCCGGAUUGGAGUCUGCAACUCGACUCCAUGAAGUCGGAAUCGCUAGUAAUCGUGGAUCAGAAUGCCACGGUGAAUACGUUCCCGGGCCUUGUACACACCGCCCGUCACACCAUGGGAGUGGGUUGCAAAAGAAGUAGGUAGCUUAACCUUCGGGAGGGCGCUUACCACUUUGUGAUUCAUGACUGGGGUGAAGUCGUAACAAGGUAACCGUAGGGGAACCUGCGGUUGGAUCACCUCCUUA